RNAcentral lists this ribosomal RNA (809 nucleotides) under uncultured bacterium. Its description in RNAcentral is "bacterial SSU rRNA". It matches the Rfam family "Bacterial small subunit ribosomal RNA", at positions 8 to 796 of the family's 1533-position model. The record is from RNAcentral.
AGAGUUUGAUCCUGGCUCAGAAUCAACGCUGGCGGCGUGCCUCAGACAUGCAAGUCGAACGCGAAAGCGCCCUUCGGGGUGCAAGUAGAGUGGCGCACGGGUGAGUAACACGUAGGUAAUCUACCUUUGGAUGGGGAAUAACAACCGGAAACGGUUGCUAAUACCGCAUAAUGCAGCGGCACCUAAUGGUGACAGUUGUUAAAGCGGGGGAUCGAAAGACCUCGCGUCUGAAGAGGAGCCUGCGGCGGAUUAGCUAGUUGGUAAGGUAAUGGCUUACCAAGGCGAUGAUCCGUAACCGGCCUGAGAGGGCGGUCGGUCACACUGACACUGACAUACGGGUCAGACUCCUACGGGAGGCAGCAGUCGGGAAUUUUGGGCAAUGGGCGAAAGCCUGACCCAGCAACGCCGCGUGAAGGAUGAAAUCCCUCGGGAUGUAAACUUCGCAAGAACAGGAAGAAUAAGUAAGGGUUAAUAUCUCUUACGAUGACGGUACUGUUUGUAAGCUCCGGCUAACUCCGUGCCAGCAGCCGCGGUAAUACGGGGGGAGCAAGCGUUGUUCGGAUUUACUGGGCGUAAAGGGCGCGUAGGCGGCCACCGCAAGUCGAUUGUGAAAUCUCCGGGCUUAACCCGGAAAGGUCAACCGAUACUGCGGGGCUAGAGUGCAGAAGGGGCAACUGGAAUUCUCGGUGUAGCGGUGAAAUGCGUAGAUAUCGAGAGGAACACCUGCGGCGAAGGCGGGUUGCUGGGCUGACACUGACGCUGAAGUGCGAAAGCUAGGGGAGCGACGGGAUUAGAUACCCNNGUAGUCC